Molecule: unclassified non-coding RNA, 493 nt
Filed under: Dicellandra descoingsii
Lineage: Eukaryota; Viridiplantae; Streptophyta; Magnoliopsida; Myrtales; Melastomataceae
Description: partial contains external transcribed spacer and 18S ribosomal RNA
Source: RNAcentral
GACUACUGGCAGGAUCAACCAGGUAGCGUUCCGUCGCUGACCUCGAGGCUCGCCGGGAAGAACACCGAACGAAGAGGCUCCGUGAGCUCCUAGACGAGAACGAGGGUCAUACAUUCAAAAGCGAGACAGCUUCGACACGUUACGCACGCAAAGGUCGGGGACCAAAGCGGUAACCACAAAAUCUCCGCACCCGAGAGAGCCGGUACCGACGACGCGCCAUCAAGAGCAGUUGCCCCGCAAACGGGUCUACGGCUCGGAAGGCGUACGUCGAUGCCCGCAAGUAACCACCAACGACGCGCGAGGCGAGGGGGGGUCGUCAAACCACGACGGGGACCACCAAUCCAUCCAACUAUCGAAUCCGAUAUCCAGCACAGGAACCCAACGAGAGACCGCAAUCGACGCUCGAAACGACGAAGCGAAACCACAAAUGAAGAAGACACGCCAAUGCAGUUCGAUGCCGGAAGCACGGAGCCUGCAAGUAACCAUAUCCGAA